Molecule: ribosomal RNA, 488 nt
Filed under: uncultured bacterium
Lineage: Bacteria
Description: partial 16S ribosomal RNA
Rfam family: Bacterial small subunit ribosomal RNA
Source: RNAcentral
AUUGAACGCUGGCGGCAGGCUUAACACAUGCAAGUCGAGCGGGGACUUCGGUCCUAGCGGCGAACGGGUGAGGAAUGCUUGGGAAUCUGCCCAGUAGCGGGGGAUAACGUUUCGAAAGGAACGCUAAUACCGCAUACGCCCUACGGGGGAAAGGGGGGGAUCUUCGGACCUCUCACUAUUCGAUGAGCCCAAGUCGGAUUAGCUAGUUGGUGGGGUAAAGGCCUACCAAGGCGACGAUCCGUAGCUGGUCUGAGAGGAUGAUCAGCCACACUGGAACUGAGACACGGUCCAGACUCCUACGGGAGGCAGCAGUGGGGAAUAUUGGACAAUGGGCGAAAGCCUGAUCCAGCCAUGCCGCGUGUGUGAAGAAGGCCUUCGGGUUGUAAAGCACUUUAAGCGAGGAGGAAUGGCUGAGGGUUAAUAACCUUCAGCAGUGACGUUACUCGCAGAAUAAGCACUUGCUAACUCUGUGCCAGCCGCCGCGGUAA